GAUGAACGCUGGCGGCGUGCCUAAUACAUGCAAGUCGAGCGAACGGACGAGAAGCUUGCUUUUCUGAUGUUAGCGGCGGACGGGUGAGUAACACGUGGAUAACCUACCUAUAAGACUGGGAUAACUUCGGGAAACCGGAGCUAAUACCGGAUAAUAUUUUGAACCGCAUGGUUCAAAAGUGAAAGACGGUCUUGCUGUCACUUAUAGAUGGAUCCGCGCUGCAUUAGCUAGUUGGUAAGGUAACGGCUUACCAAGGCAACGAUGCAUAGCCGACCUGAGAGGGUGAUCGGCCACACUGGAACUGAGACACGGUCCAGACUCCUACGGGAAGCAGCAGUAGGGAAUCUUCCGCAAUGGGCGAAAGCCUGACGGAGCAACGCCGCGUGAGUGAUGAAGGUCUUCGGAUCGUAAAACUCUGUUAUUAGGGAAGAACAUAUGUGUAAGUAACUGUGAACAUCUUGACGGUACCUAAUCAGAAAGCCACGGCUAACUACGUG
Molecule: ribosomal RNA, 497 nt
Filed under: uncultured bacterium
Lineage: Bacteria
Description: partial 16S ribosomal RNA
Rfam family: Bacterial small subunit ribosomal RNA
Source: RNAcentral